GGGGGCGUAAUGGUUUCGACAGGGGUGGUUGUGGCAUAGGUAGCGAGCCGGGAUUCCAUCAGCCCGUCAAUACGGUGGAAAGUUAUAAAUGCAAACAACGAAUACGCUUUAGCAGCUUAAUGCUAACGUUCUACCGUCCCUCUUCCUGUGGGGAAGGCUAGGACGUCACAAUGCAGGAUACCUGAGGUCUAAUUCUCCGCGGACCAACUGGGAAAUUUUAAAGAGAUAGCGCCAGCGAAGCUUGUCUGUAAGCGUCAAUGGGGCGAAAUCUAAAAUACAGAAUGCGCUCGGAGAAGCCUAUGUAGUGAUGCCUUUGGACAGGAGUUCGAUUCUCCUCGCCUCCACCA
This is a non-coding RNA of Pelosinus sp., 347 nucleotides long. It matches the Rfam family "transfer-messenger RNA". Rfam says of the family: Bacterial tmRNA, also known as 10Sa RNA or SsrA, is named for its dual tRNA and mRNA-like properties. Its role is to liberate the mRNA from a stalled ribosome. Lineage: Bacteria; Bacillati; Bacillota; Negativicutes; Selenomonadales; Sporomusaceae. The record is from Rfam.